ACUACGGGAGGCAGCAGUAGGGAAUCUUCCACAAUGGGCGCAAGCCUGAUGGAGCAACGCCGCGCGGGUGAAGAAGGUCUUCGGAUCGUAAAACACUGUUGUUGGAGAAGAAAGUGCGUGAGAGUAACUGUUCACGUUUCGACGGUAUCUAACCAGAAAGCCACGGCUAACCACGUGCCAGCAGCCGCGGUCAUACGUAGGUGGCAAGCGUUAUCCGGAGUUAUUUGGCGUAAAGGGAACGCAGGCGGUCUUUUAAGUCUGAUGUGAAAGCCACCGGCUUAACCGGAGUAGUGCAUUCGAAACUGGGAGACUUGAGUGCAGAAGAGGAGAGUCGAACUCCAGGUGGAGCGGGGAAAUGCGUAGAGAUAUGGAGGAAUACCAGUGGCGAAGGCGGCUCUCUGGUCAGUAACUGACGCUGAGGUUCGAAAGCGUGGGGAGUAAACAGGAUUAGAUACCCGUGUAGUC
This 465-nucleotide ribosomal RNA is filed under the name uncultured bacterium. RNAcentral describes it as "partial 16S ribosomal RNA". It matches the Rfam family "Bacterial small subunit ribosomal RNA", at positions 338 to 795 of the family's 1533-position model. The record is from RNAcentral.